AUGGACUUUUCUCCAGGCUUCGUGGCUGCGCUGAUUCUCAUACUAGGAAGGACCCAUGGAGACUCAGUGACUCAAACAGGAGGCCAAGUGACCAUCUCAGAAGGCAAGUUCCUGACAAUAAAUUGCACGUAUUCAACCACAAGUAUAGCAUAUGCUGUUCUUUCCUGGUAUGUCCGAUAUCCUGGAGAAGGCCCCCAGCUCCUCCUGAAAGUCAUCACAGCUGGCGAGAAGGGAAGCAGCAGAGGGUUUGAAGCCACAUAUGAUAGAGGAACCACCUCCUUCCACUUGCAGAAAGCCUCAGUACAGGAGUCAGACUCGGCUGUGUACUACUGUGCUCUGGGUGGCACAGUGGCAGACACUGCCGGGGGAGCUGUACAACUUACAGUAAGACCAGAAAUUUCCUCACCAAAACCUGCUCCUUGGAGGCUUCAGGGAGGCAGAGGUGAUAGAGAAGUCUUUCUAACACUGUAUUGGGGAACUGAAUUUCGCUUUUGGGGUUAUUAG
This is a non-coding RNA of Meriones unguiculatus (Mongolian gerbil), 504 nucleotides long. The record is from the annotation of a RefSeq genome assembly. NCBI's taxonomy places the organism in Eukaryota, Metazoa, Chordata, Mammalia, Rodentia, Muridae.